ACACCUAAAUUUUAGCCAGCAGAUUUCAUUUAUAUUGACAAUGUGGCAGAAUAAUGCAUCA
RNAcentral lists this transfer RNA (61 nucleotides) under Limnodrilus hoffmeisteri. Its description in RNAcentral is "tRNA-Leu". The record is from RNAcentral. Lineage: Eukaryota; Metazoa; Annelida; Clitellata; Tubificida; Naididae.